UACAGAGGUCUCAAGCGUUGUUCGGAUUCAUUGGGCGUAAAGGGUGCGUAGGUGGCGCCGUAAGUCGGGUGUGAAAUUUCGGAGCUUAACUCCGAAACUGCAUUCGAUACUGCGGUGCUUGAGGACUGGAGAGGAGACUGGAAUUCCUGGUGUAGCGGUGAAAUGCGCAGAUAUCAGGAGGAACACCGAUGGCGAAGGCAGGUCUCUGGGCCAUAACUGACGCUGAGGAGCGAAAGCGUGGGGAGCAAACAGG
Molecule: ribosomal RNA, 253 nt
Filed under: uncultured bacterium
Lineage: Bacteria
Description: partial 16S ribosomal RNA
Rfam family: Bacterial small subunit ribosomal RNA
Source: RNAcentral